ACCAGACUCCUACGGGAGGCAGCAGUGAGGAAUAUUGGUCAAUGGCCGCAGGGCUGAACCAGCCAAGUCGCGUGAGGGAUGACGGUCCUAUGGAUUGUAAACCUCUUUUGUCAGGGAGCAAAGGGCGCCACGUGUGGCGCUUUGCGAGUACCUGAAGAAAAAGCAUCGGCUAACUCCGUGCCAGCAGCCGCGGUAAUACGGAGGAUGCGAGCGUUAUCCGGAUUUAUUGGGUUUAAAGGGUGCGCAGGCGGAAUGUCAAGUCAGCGGUAAAAUUUCGGGGCUCAACCCCGUCGUGCCGUUGAAACUGGCGGCCUCGAGUGGGCGAGAAGUAUGCGGAAUGCGUGGUGUAGCGGUGAAAUGCAUAGAUAUCACGCAGAACUCCGAUUGCGAAGGCAGCAUACCGGCGCUCAACUGACGCUCAUGCACGAAAGCGUGGGUAUCGAACAGGAUUAGAUACCCCAGUA
Molecule: ribosomal RNA, 464 nt
Filed under: uncultured bacterium
Lineage: Bacteria
Description: bacterial SSU rRNA
Rfam family: Bacterial small subunit ribosomal RNA
Source: RNAcentral